This 492-nucleotide ribosomal RNA is filed under the name uncultured bacterium. RNAcentral describes it as "partial 16S ribosomal RNA". It matches the Rfam family "Bacterial small subunit ribosomal RNA", at positions 29 to 507 of the family's 1533-position model. The record is from RNAcentral.
AGUGAACGCUGGCGGUAGGCCUAACACAUGCAAGUCGAACGGCAGCACAGUAAGAGCUUGCUCUUACGGGUGGCGAGUGGCGGACGGGUGAGGAAUACAUCGGAAUCUACUUUUUCGUGGGGGAUAACGUAGGGAAACUUACGCUAAUACCGCAUACGACCUACGGGUGAAAGCAGGGGAUCUUCGGACCUUGCGCGAUUGAAUGAGCCGAUGUCGGAUUAGCUAGUUGGCGGGGUAAAGGCCCACCAAGGCGACGAUCCGUAGCUGGUCUGAGAGGAUGAUCAGCCACACUGGAACUGAGACACGGUCCAGACUCCUACGGGAGGCAGCAGUGGGGAAUAUUGGACGAUGGGCGCAAGCCUGAUCCAGCCAUACCGCGUGGGUGAAGAAGGCCUUCGGGUUGUAAAGCCCUUUUGUUGGGAGAGAAAAGCAGCAGGUUAAUACCCCGCUGUUCUGACGGUACCCAAAGAAUAAGCACCGGCUAACUUCGUG